Molecule: long non-coding RNA, 781 nt
Organism: Oncorhynchus keta (chum salmon)
Lineage: Eukaryota; Metazoa; Chordata; Actinopteri; Salmoniformes; Salmonidae
Exons: 3
Source: RefSeq, a predicted model, not a curated record
GUGUGUGUAGUGGUAACUCUGGCUGUCUUGGGUAGUGGAAUAGUGUGUGUGUGUAGUGGUAACUCUGGCUGUCUUGGGUAGUGGAAUAGUGUGUGUGUGUAGUGGUAACUCUGGCUGUCUUGGGUAGUGGAAUAGUGUGUGUGUGUAGUGGUAACUCUGGCUGUCUUGGGUAGUGGAAUAGUGUGUGUGUUGGUAACUCUGGUUGUCUUGGGUAAUGGAAUAGUGUGUGUGUGUAGUGGUAACUCUGGCUGUCUUGGGUAGUGGAAUAGUGUGUGUGUGUCGUGGUAACUCUGGCUGUCUUGGGUAGAUGGAAUAGUGUGUGUGUGUCGUGGUAACUCUGGCUGUCUUGGGUAGUGGAAUAGUGUGUGUGUGUGUCGUGGUAACUCUGGCUGUCUUGGGUAGUGGAAUAGUGUGUGUGUGUCGUGGUAACUCUGGCUGUCUUGGGUAGUGGAAUAGUGUGUGUGUGUCGUGGUAACUCUGGCUGUCUUGGGUAGUGGAAUAGUGUGUGUGUGUCGUGGUAACUCUGGCUGUCUUGGGUAGAUGGAAUAGUGUGUGUGUGUCGUGGUAACUCUGGCUGUCUUGGGUAGUGGAAUAGUGUGUGUGUGUCGUGGUAACUCUGGCUGUCUUGGGUAGUGGAAUAGUGUGUGUGUGUGUCGUGGUAACUCUGGCUGUCUUGGGUAGAUGGAAUAGUUGUCUUGUUGCUGGUCAUUGUGUUUUUCUGUUUGUCAUCCAUGCGUGGCAGAGUCAGGGACAGCACAUGUCCUAGUCAUGGAAGUGUGGU